UUGUAAUUAUUAGAAUAUGAUGAGUCUUAUACCUUGAGCCUUGAUGUUUUUUUGCUGAUUCUUCCCACUGUAGCAGUAAUACUGUUCAAUAUCCCAACCAAAGCACCUAGGUUGUCCACCUAUUUCAGACCUUUGUACAGCCGCUUUCAAUUUUCAGUUCAAGCCAUUGAUAUCUACACUACUUGCAAGGUCUCUGUCUUUCUCCAUGUAUAUGUGUAUGUGUGUAAAGUUUGUCUUUUUUCUCUAUUUAUAUGUGUAAAGUUUGACUCUUUUAUAGCUUUUCAAUGGGUGAUAUUUUCAUUUUGGUUGGGAUUGCUUAGGUGUUUCAAGUUAGAGUGAGUUUUGUAAAGGAUGUGCAAAAGCAAGAGGCAUGGUGGGAAAGACAACAUGAACUUGCAGCUGAGAAUUUUGGGUUUUAUAGGCUCUCUUUAGUCCUGUUAGUGGAAGCAAUUGGACUUGCUUGGUGAUUUUGUUGAAGGAGCUUACAGUAGCUUGAAGAAGUUGAGAAAAGAGAACAGCCUAAGAAAGGGAGGAAAUACAUUCUUGAAAAGCAUUGGAUAAAGCUUGAAGAUGUAAGCACAAUUUUAUAUUUAUUCUAUUUAUUGGUUCUUUUGUAAUACUUAUUAAACCAAAUG
This is a long non-coding RNA of Quercus lobata, 635 nucleotides long. RefSeq lists it as uncharacterized. Lineage: Eukaryota; Viridiplantae; Streptophyta; Magnoliopsida; Fagales; Fagaceae. The transcript is spliced from 3 exons. The record is from RefSeq and is a predicted model, not a curated record.